Molecule: transfer RNA, 74 nt
Filed under: Candidatus Woesearchaeota archaeon
Lineage: Archaea; Nanobdellati; Candidatus Woesearchaeota
Description: tRNA-Ile
Rfam family: tRNA
About the family: Transfer RNA (tRNA) molecules are approximately 80 nucleotides in length. Their secondary structure includes four short double-helical elements and three loops (D, anti-codon, and T loops).
Source: RNAcentral
GGCCCUGUAGCUUAGUCCGGUAGAGCGCUGCUCUUAUAAGGCAGAAGUCCUGAGUUCAAAUCUCGGCAGGGCCA